UAUCCUCAGGCAUUCUUCUACUAAUAAAUCCAUGUAAAUACAGACCGAUUAGAUAAUUUUCAAUUAAGAAUCAUUUAAAUUGUUUACAACUAAGGAAAAUUCAGAUUUUUAAUUUCAAUUAUUGAACAGUUAGAUACAUUUUGUUGAUUUCAAAAAUAAUGAAGCCUAAAUGAAACAUGCAUUUAUUUUCUAACCAUUAAGCAUGUUUGACUUAUUUUGCUUUCUUACAGAAGCGUUUCCAUGUGGUUAACUUAAAUGUGAAAAUUCUUCUCCGUAACUUGCUUCAUUACCAAAAUAUCUUAAAAGAUAUUCUUAUAAUUGUCCCAAGUGUACUGGUUUUGAGUGACAUUUUAAGUAAAAGGCAAUUUUCAAAUCUAUACUUAAAUAAAAUUUUAAGAAAUAUUAGGUAUUUCCAUCAUUUAAUAAAUAGGAAAAUGUAUAUACUUUAAGAAACAUAGAACAUUGCGUCUUGCUUAGGUUGACAUCUCUUGUAGCAUGUGUUCAAACAAUGAUGUUCUUGGCAAUUUUGUGCCACAAUUUUCACCUCUCUUCACAUAUUUAGAGGUGGCAUCAUAAAGUGCUUCAACAUGUAUAGGCAAAUAGUGUCCUUUUAACAUGUCACAUGCUUAUUCUACACAUGUGUACAUGUAUUUAUACAAUUAUUUGUUCAUGUAACUUUUGAACAGCGGAAUACUAAAUGUGGUCAGAAUUUGUCCCAAGUGUAAACUUUGUAAGAAAAUUCUUCUGAAAUUUUCAUAAGAUAGAAUUUUCAAGGUUUUACAUCAUUUUCUUCAAACCAUUAAUGCUUAUCACAAGAUGUACUGAAAGUUUGAUGCCAAAAACCUUGUGAACUUUUUUUGCAAGACAAAUAUUGUGUUGUCCCAAGUGUACGAAUUUUUUAUCAUGUUUGAUGGACAUGUGUCAUCUUUAAAAAAUACACAAAGGUACUAAUUUUCUGGAAAGAAGUACACAGAAGGGUGUAAUCUCCAAGAGAAAAGGUGGUUGUUUUACUCUGGAGGCGAAAUACUCUUAUUAUAUGGGUAUGUCUACAUAUUUUGUGUUCAGAAGGAAAAUAUAAGCGUAUUAACCUUUAUGUGUAGGAAGUAUAUUUGACUUUACCAUAAGAUUAUAACACAAAUACAUUUCCGUCAAUUUUAAACAAAAUCUUUCUCCAAUAAUCUUUAAUGUUAGCCUGAAGUUGGUCAUUAAAUCCAAUAAAGUUUUAAACUGUCAAUUUACACACACUAGUUAUUGAAAGCUAUACCUGUAUCUUUCGUCCGUGUACUACGGACUUCAUCAGCAGGAUGAAUGUCUACUGUUGGGAAAUGUUAACACCGCUAAUUGUCGGGGUGAGCGAUGUUAACGUAUGGUUCCAGGUGUGCAAGGUUGGUUUAACUUGGAUCAUCAUGAAAGUUGUUGAUAAUGUUUGUGGUCAAAAUAUCUCGAACCAGUUUAGUAACAAGCCAGAAUGCAUGUAGCACUUCCAAAAUAUGACUUUUUUAACUAAAAACAAAUGACCAAAAUAAACUUUUCUGCCAUUGCACUCACGAUCAAUUUAACCCAGUCUUUUAAACAAGUGUAUUUUGUUGGCUUUCUUGUUUUGAUUAAACAACUGGGUAAGCCGUCUGAAAUCUUGCCCCUUGUCAGUGCAAAAUGCCAUCAGAAUGUAUGUAAUAAGGCGUCAUUAUCUCAACAUUUCAUACACUAAACUUUGUAGUGCUGUGUAUUAUUUUUGUCCUGUGUCUUAAUUUUAGUGAAGUACCUUUUAGUGAUGCUAAGAAUGAUUUCCUACAGAUGCAACUUGAGUUAUACUGUGUUUAUAUUUAAUUGUACAGGACAUCUUGCCAAUGAACAUGGUGCCCUUUCCGGAAUGAACAGUGCCAAUGCGACUAACGUGACCCUUCAGAGAAAUAGAAUUUUAGGACCAAUAUCACCCCAGUAUCAAUCAGGGCUCCAACAACAGCCGCCCCCAGUCCAAGCCUUGUGAGCCUUUGGGAAGGGGUCAAGAUGCCCACGAGGUCUCAACUCUGUUUGUCCCGAGGCUUCUUCCAGCAGCAGUGGAACAACAUGGCAUCCCAGCAGGGGAUAUCACACUAUAACAACGGUCACCUAUAAUUGUCUGGUGGCGUUCAGCUUCAGACGUUGCAAAAUCAGCUUUAUUCGUUCAGCGAGCCCACAGUAUCCAAACAACAAAGCCAUCCACACAGGAACAACAACAACAUCACGCGGAUCAGCCAUCUCAAAUCCACACGCUAACAACCUGUGUUGAAUCAAUGGAGUCAAAAUAUGCUUACCCGUCUUGUUGUCAUCCCAGUAAUAGCUUGGGGGUCAAGCUCAGGUUCAAGGACACGGCGAUAUGGGGAUGUUUGACAGGC
Molecule: long non-coding RNA, 2375 nt
Organism: Dreissena polymorpha
Lineage: Eukaryota; Metazoa; Mollusca; Bivalvia; Myida; Dreissenidae
Exons: 4
Source: RefSeq, a predicted model, not a curated record